Molecule: ribosomal RNA, 305 nt
Filed under: uncultured bacterium
Lineage: Bacteria
Description: bacterial SSU rRNA
Rfam family: Bacterial small subunit ribosomal RNA
Source: RNAcentral
GUGUCCUACGGGGCGCAGCAGUGGGGAAUAUUGCACAAUGGGGGAAACUCUGAUGCAGCAACGCCGCGUGAGUGAAGAAGUAUUUCGGUAUGUAAAGCUCUAUCAGCAGGGAAGAGAAUGACGGUACCUGACUAAGAAGCCCCGGCUAACUACGUGCCAGCAGCCGCGGUAAUACGUAGGGGGCAAGCGUUAUCCGGAUUUACUGGGUGUAAAGGGAGCGUAGACGGUUACGCAAGUCUGGAGUGAAAGGCUGGGGCCCAACCCCCGGACUGCUUUGGAAACUGUAUAACUGGAGUGCAGGAGAG